Molecule: ribosomal RNA, 465 nt
Filed under: uncultured bacterium
Lineage: Bacteria
Description: partial 16S ribosomal RNA
Rfam family: Bacterial small subunit ribosomal RNA
Source: RNAcentral
GAUGAACGCUGGCGGCGUGCUUAACACAUGCAAGUCGAACGAUGAAGCCCAGCUUGCUGGGUGGAUUAGUGGCGAACGGGUGAGUAACACGUGAGUAACCUGCCCUUAACUCUGGGAUAAGCCUGGGAAACUGGGUCUAAUACCGGAUAGGAGCGUCCACCGCAUGGUGGGUGUUGGAAAGAUUUAUCGGUUUUGGAUGGACUCGCGGCCUAUCAGCUUGUUGGUGAGGUAAUGGCUCACCAAGGCGACGACGGGUAGCCGGCCUGAGAGGGUGACCGGCCACACUGGGACUGAGACACGGCCCAGACUCCUACGGGAGGCAGCAGUGGGGAAUAUUGCACAAUGGGCGCAAGCCUGAUGCAGCGACGCCGCGUGAGGGAUGACGGCCUUCGGGUUGUAAACCUCUUUCAGUAGGGAAGAAGCGAAAGUGACGGUACCUGCAGAAGAAGCACCGGCUAACUACGG